AGUGAACGCUGGCGGUAGGCCUAACACAUGCGAGUCGAACGGCAGCACAGUAAGAGCUUGCUCUUACGGGUGGCGAGUGGCGGCCGGGUGAGGAAUACAUCGGAAUCUACUUUUUCGCGGGGGGUAACGUAGGGAAACUUACGCUAAUACCGCAUACGACCUACGGGUGAAAGCAGGGGAUCUUCGGACCUUGCGCGAUUGAAUGAGCCGAUGUCGGAUUAGCUAGUUGGCGGGGUAAAGGCCCACCAAGGCGACGAUCCGUAGCUGGUCUGAGAGGAUGAUCAGCCACACUGGAACUGAGACACGGUCCAGACUCCUACGGGAGGCAGCAGUGGGGAAUAUUGGACAAAGGGCGCAAGCCUGGUCCAGCCAUACCGCGUGGGUGAAGAAGGCCUUCGGGUUGGAAAGCCCUUUUGUUGGGAAAGAAAAGCAGCAGGUUAAUACCCCGCUGUGCUGACGGUACCCAAAGAAUAAGCACCGGCUAACUUCGUG
Molecule: ribosomal RNA, 492 nt
Filed under: uncultured bacterium
Lineage: Bacteria
Description: partial 16S ribosomal RNA
Rfam family: Bacterial small subunit ribosomal RNA
Source: RNAcentral